Long non-coding RNA from Mustela lutreola (European mink), 385 nucleotides. RefSeq lists it as uncharacterized. NCBI's taxonomy places the organism in Eukaryota, Metazoa, Chordata, Mammalia, Carnivora, Mustelidae. The transcript has 3 exons. The record is from RefSeq and is a predicted model, not a curated record.
CUUGGACUGCUGCAGGGCGUCCUCCAGGUCCCCAAGCUUCUGCCGUGCAUCCUGAAGGGCCUGCUCUCCUCUCUCCUCUGCAUCCGAAAUGGCCACAUGCAUCUGCUCAAGCUGCCCAGGGGACGGUCGCAGAGAAGAACGGAAUGGGAGCCUCUGGAUGGUGCGGUUGAGCUCAGCGAUCUCCAUCUUGCUGUUCUUCAGCUCGUCUCCGUGUCUUCCCGCCGAGAUCUGGAGCUCCUGGUACUGAGAACAAAGACGGCAUCAUGGUCAGCCUGCUGCACUGCAGGAGGCCCUCCUUGAGGGAUCCUCCACGACAUCCUGCAUGUUCCUAACUUCACUGUUCUGGCGCAUCUGCUCGGUGUUGAGGAAAUCCACCUGCCUCCGC